Molecule: ribosomal RNA, 464 nt
Filed under: uncultured bacterium
Lineage: Bacteria
Description: partial 16S ribosomal RNA
Rfam family: Bacterial small subunit ribosomal RNA
Source: RNAcentral
CCUACGGGUGGCAGCAGUAGGGAAUUUUCGGCAAUGGGGGGAACCCUGACCGAGCAACGCCGCGUGAAGGAAGAAGGAAUUCGUUCUGUAAACUUCUGUUAUCAAGGAAGAAAGACGGAUGGAGGAAAUGACAUCCGAGUGACGGUCCUUUAUGAGACAGCCACGGCUAACUAUGUGCCAGCAGCCGCGGUAAUACGUAGGUGGCAAGCUUUAUCCGGAUUUAUUGGGUUUAAAGGGUGCGCAGGCGGAAGAUCAAGUCCGCGGUAAAAUUGAGAGGCUCAACCUCUUCGAGCCGUUGAAACUGGUGUUCUUGAGUGAGUGAGAAGUAGGCGGAAGGCGUGGUGUAGCGGUGAAAUGCAUAGAUAUCACGCAGAACACCGAUUGCGAAGGCAGCAUACCGGCGCUCAACUGACGCUCAUGCACGAAAGUGUGGGUAUCGAACAGGAUUAGAUACCCGAGUAGUC